AUUGAACGCUGGCGGCAGGCCUAACACAUGCAAGUCGAACGAGUGGCGGACGUGUGAGUAAUGUCUGGGAAACUGCCUGAUGGAGGGGGAUCACUACUGGAAACGGUAGCUCAUACCGCAUACCAUCGGAUGUGCCCAGAUGGUAUUAGCUAGUAGGUGGGGUAAAGGCUCACCUAGGCGCCGCUCCCUAGCUGGUCUGGGCUGAGGACCAGCCAAGCUGGAACUGAGACACGGUCCAGAAUCCUGAGGGAGGCAGCGGUGGGGAAUAUUGCACAAUGGGGGCAAGCCUGAUGCAGCAAUGCCGCGUGUAUGAAGAAGGCCUUCGGGUUGUAAAGUACUUUCAGCGGGGAGGCGUUACCCGAAGAAGAAGCACCGGGUAACUCCGUGCCAGCAGCCGCGGUAUUUC
RNAcentral lists this ribosomal RNA (406 nucleotides) under uncultured bacterium. Its description in RNAcentral is "partial 16S ribosomal RNA". It matches the Rfam family "Bacterial small subunit ribosomal RNA", at positions 30 to 526 of the family's 1533-position model. The record is from RNAcentral.